This 1531-nucleotide ribosomal RNA is filed under the name Lactiplantibacillus argentoratensis. Its description in RNAcentral is "partial 16S ribosomal RNA". It matches the Rfam family "Bacterial small subunit ribosomal RNA". The record is from RNAcentral. Lineage: Bacteria; Bacillati; Bacillota; Bacilli; Lactobacillales; Lactobacillaceae.
GAGUUUGAUCCUGGCUCAGGACGAACGCUGGCGGCGUGCCUAAUACAUGCAAGUCGAACGAACUCUGGUAUUGAUUGGUGCUUGCAUCAUGAUUUACAUUUGAGUGAGUGGCGAACUGGUGAGUAACACGUGGGAAACCUGCCCAGAAGCGGGGGAUAACACCUGGAAACAGAUGCUAAUACCGCAUAACAGCUUGGACCGCAUGGUCCGAGCUUGAAAGAUGGCUUCGGCUAUCACUUUUGGAUGGUCCCGCGGCGUAUUAGCUAGAUGGUGGGGUAACGGCUCACCAUGGCAAUGAUACGUAGCCGACCUGAGAGGGUAAUCGGCCACAUUGGGACUGAGACACGGCCCAAACUCCUACGGGAGGCAGCAGUAGGGAAUCUUCCACAAUGGACGAAAGUCUGAUGGAGCAACGCCGCGUGAGUGAAGAAGGGUUUCGGCUCGUAAAACUCUGUUGUUAAAGAAGAACAUAUCUGAGAGUAACUGUUCAGGUAUUGACGGUAUUUAACCAGAAAGCCACGGCUAACUACGUGCCAGCAGCCGCGGUAAUACGUAGGUGGCAAGCGUUGUCCGGAUUUAUUGGGCGUAAAGCGAGCGCAGGCGGUUUUUUAAGUCUGAUGUGAAAGCCUUCGGCUCAACCGAAGAAGUGCAUCGGAAACUGGGAAACUUGAGUGCAGAAGAGGACAGUGGAACUCCAUGUGUAGCGGUGAAAUGCGUAGAUAUAUGGAAGAACACCAGUGGCGAAGGCGGCUGUCUGGUCUGUAACUGACGCUGAGGCUCGAAAGUAUGGGUAGCAAACAGGAUUAGAUACCCUGGUAGUCCAUACCGUAAACGAUGAAUGCUAAGUGUUGGAGGGUUUCCGCCCUUCAGUGCUGCAGCUAACGCAUUAAGCAUUCCGCCUGGGGAGUACGGCCGCAAGGCUGAAACUCAAAGGAAUUGACGGGGGCCCGCACAAGCGGUGGAGCAUGUGGUUUAAUUCGAAGCUACGCGAAGAACCUUACCAGGUCUUGACAUACUAUGCAAAUCUAAGAGAUUAGACGUUCCCUUCGGGGACAUGGAUACAGGUGGUGCGUGGUUGUCGUCAGCUCGUGUCGUGAGAUGUUGGGUUAAGUCCCGCAACGAGCGCAACCCUUAUUAUCAGUUGCCAGCAUUAAGUUGGGCACUCUGGUGAGACUGCCGGUGACAAACCGGAGGAAGGUGGGGAUGACGUCAAAUCAUCAUGCCCCUUAUGACCUGGGCUACACACGUGCUACAAUGGAUGGUACAACGAGUUGCGAACUCGCGAGAGUAAGCUAAUCUCUUAAAGCCAUUCUCAGUUCGGAUUGUAGGCUGCAACUCGCCUACAUGAAGUCGGAAUCGCUAGUAAUCGCGGAUCAGCAUGCCGCGGUGAAUACGUUCCCGGGCCUUGUACACACCGCCCGUCACACCAUGAGAGUUUGUAACACCCAAAGUCGGUGGGGUAACCUUUUAGGAACCAGCCGCCUAAGGUGGGACAGAUGAUUAGGGUGAAGUCGUAACAAGGUAGCCGUAG